CCUUGGGGUAUAGUCCUUGUUCCCAUUUAAUAUAAGAGGAUACUGACAGAUCCCAGGAGAUUUACCCAAGGUCACCCAGCUGGUAGAUGGAGAAGUAGAGGCAGGAACUCAGAUUAUCUGAAUUAUGGUUUGUCUUAAGCACUCAUUCUGUGCCAGGCACAGCGAAACUACUAGAUGCGGAGUUUGUAACCUGGGCAAAAGGGGGUCUUAGAACCCCAGAACCUCACGAAACUCAGGCCACGCCUCCUCUGAGCAUCGGCUCCACCCACAGGGCGCCAGAGGCCCCUACCACCAGGCUUCACCCCCAGCGCCAUUGACUGAACUGUGCAAAAGGGGAGGGGUCUUCCAAGCCGAGAUGAGCCAAUCAGAACCUCUCUUCAAUGACCUGGAAAUCAGUGUCUGGGCCAGACAGAUGGUAGUGGGCAGGGGACAGAAAGGUGUUGAGGGAGAAGCACCCUUGCCUGAUGGUUGCCCAAAGCCAGGGGCAGGUGGAAGUGAGAGAAGGACAAGCCCUGCAAACGUUGCAGAAGCCCUCUGUCCAUGGAGAAGGCAUGGGACUUUCACGCCGGGGCAGCUUACUCCUGCUGAGAACUUUGGGGAGACAGAGUGGAGCAGCCAUCUCAGACCUGAGCGGCUAAGGAGCUGGAUCCUUCUCUGGCGCACUGUGCAGAGCUGCUGGACUUUGCAGUAAGCAGCCUUCAGGUCUAAGGGCUCCACAUUGUAAGGAAGGCCAGUCGCAUAGACAGACCACAUGGUGAGUUCCAGCUGGCUGCCCCAGCCAAGGCUUCAGCCAACAACCAAGAUUAACCACAGCCAUGGGUAUCAAUAAGCCUUCAAAUGAGUCCAGCACCCAGCAGAAUAAUGCCCCCUCCCAUCUCACAAAGAUCUCCACACCCUAUUUCCUGGAACCUGGGAAUCUGCUAUACUACACGGCAAGCAGAACUGGCAGACGGAAUUUAGGGUAUGGGCCUUGAUAUGGGGAGGGCAGCCUGGAUUACACAGGUGGACCCGAUCUACGCACAUGAGCUUUUAUAAAGGCAAAAAAACUUUCCCCAGCUUCCAGAUAGCUGGCAAACAGAAUUGGAGUGGCAGAGAGAUUUAAUCAAGAAGGGCAGAAGAGACUUAAAAGCAAGAGAGGCUCAGCCUGCCAUGGCUAGCUUUGAAAAUGGAGGAAUGGGGCUCCAAGCCAAGGGAUGCAGGCUGCCUCUUCAUUGGAGUACUGCCAGCAAGAAAACAGCCCAGCAAUUGCAAGGAAAUUAAUUUUCCCAACAGCCUGAAUGAGCCAGAAAAUGGACUCUCCCCUGCUAUGCCCUGAGUUCAGCCUUGCGAGACUCUAAGCAGAGACCAACUUGAGCCUGCAGGACAUCCCACCCAUAAGAAUUGUAGGAUAAUGAACUGGGGUGGUUUUA
Long non-coding RNA from Cebus imitator (Panamanian white-faced capuchin), 1409 nucleotides. RefSeq lists it as uncharacterized. The transcript has 2 exons. NCBI's taxonomy places the organism in Eukaryota, Metazoa, Chordata, Mammalia, Primates, Cebidae. The record is from RefSeq and is a predicted model, not a curated record.